This is a long non-coding RNA of Sphaeramia orbicularis (orbiculate cardinalfish), 92 nucleotides long. RefSeq lists it as uncharacterized. The transcript has 3 exons. Lineage: Eukaryota; Metazoa; Chordata; Actinopteri; Kurtiformes; Apogonidae. The record is from RefSeq and is a predicted model, not a curated record.
GACACUUACUUUAUCAAGUCUCCUAUCACUGAUUCAAGAACAAUUAAUGCAACAAUGGAUGGGAAUAAAUGUUGUGAUAUUAUAUAAAAUUC